GGGCGUGUAACUCAGUGGUAGAGUGCUCGCUUCGCAUUUCUAGCAGUAUUGCGAGAAGUCCAGGGUUCAACUCCCUGCUCGUCCA
Hypoxylon sp. NC1633 is the source of this 85-nucleotide non-coding RNA. Lineage: Eukaryota; Fungi; Ascomycota; Sordariomycetes; Xylariales; Hypoxylaceae. The record is from the annotation of a GenBank genome assembly.